This 395-nucleotide ribosomal RNA is filed under the name uncultured bacterium. Its description in RNAcentral is "partial 16S ribosomal RNA". It matches the Rfam family "Bacterial small subunit ribosomal RNA", at positions 523 to 917 of the family's 1533-position model. The record is from RNAcentral.
AUACGGAGGGUGCAAGCGUUAAUCGGAAUUACUGGGCGUAAAACGCACGCAGGCGGUCAAUUAAGUCAGAUGUGAAAGCCCCGAGCUUCACUUGGGAAUUGCAUCUGAAACUGGUUGGCUAGAGUCUUGUAGAGGGGGGUAGAAUUACACGUGUAGCGGUGAAAUGCGUAGAGAUGUGGAGGAAUACCGGUGGCGAAGGCGGCCCCCUGGACAAAGACUGACGCUCAGGUGCGAAAGCGUGGGGAGCAAACAGGAUUAGAUACCCUGGUAGUCCACGCUGUAAACGAUGUCGAUUUAGAGGUUGUGGUCUUGAACCGUGGCUUCUGGAGCUAACGCGUUAAAUCGACCGCCUGGGGAGUACGGCCGCAAGGUUAAAACUCAAAUGAAUUGACGGG